UAGGCAUUAAUCAUACAAACACAUUUAUUUUUCAAUGUGGCAUCUUCUGUUCUCUAUCAGAGCAUGUGAGUGGAAUUGAGUGCCAAAAAACACUCCUCUGGGAAAAAAAACUGCAAAUCUAAAUUCGCUCCAUUCAUUAAAAUCACAAAAACACAUCUAUUUUUAGUGACUACCUGGACCUACCAUUUGGUUUUGACAUAUCAAAGCCAAACCAUAUGAUUGGAAUGAAAAGUAUUUUAGUAAACAACAUGAAAAGGUGACUGUAAGAAGCGCUCAUCAUUUCAAAUAGGCCACAUGUCAUAUUAAACAGCAUAUAACCACUCUAAAUAGGCCACAUGUCAUAUUAAACAGCAUAUAACCACUCUAAAUAGGCCACAUGUCAUAUUAAACUGCAUAUAACCACUCUAAAUAGGUCACAUGUCAUAUUAAACAGCAUAUAACCACUCUAAAUAGGCCACAUGUCAUAUUAAACAU
Long non-coding RNA from Oncorhynchus tshawytscha (Chinook salmon), 474 nucleotides. Lineage: Eukaryota; Metazoa; Chordata; Actinopteri; Salmoniformes; Salmonidae. The record is from Ensembl.